GUCACAUUCUUUUAAUGUAACUCUGAGGUGUAAAAUGAUAGUAGUUAAAAUCGAGUGUUAAAAAUGAGUGUUUCUAUUUCAAAUCUGGAGGUGUUACAAUGGAAACAUUAACUCUUGACCUCUUAACUCUGAACUCCUACAGGGGCUAUGACACUAAUAGAGUAAAUUCACAGACUCCGCCCCCAGCACCAUAGGCUCCAAUCGAAGCUGAAGUGAAGCCGUUUCAGAACAUUUUGCUCUACAUAUUUGAGUUGUUUGCCAUGCUUGGAUAUGCUUGUGAAGAUGGAAUAUGGGGGAGAGCAGAAGUGCGUUGCAGUUCCACAAAGUGAUGAAUGAAGGACAUGCAUAUUGUAUUUUGUAUUUAUUGAAAUAAGUGAUGAGAAUGCUGUUAUUUGCAUUUACCAGCUCACCUAUGUCACACCUUUUGAUAAACGAAAUUCUAAUGAAAGUGAGAACAUGUACACUGUUACAUCUUUCAGAAAAUGUUUUAAAAUUGUGGUGCACAGUUCAGAAUAAAUGUUUUU
Neolamprologus brichardi is the source of this 524-nucleotide non-coding RNA. The record is from RefSeq and is a predicted model, not a curated record. Lineage: Eukaryota; Metazoa; Chordata; Actinopteri; Cichliformes; Cichlidae.